UUUUACUGCACUGUCAGUGUCAGUACUAACGUUAAGACUGUCGCCAGUGAGCAAGACUCUCUAGAAAUCUUGCAAACUGCGAAAAGAAGUUAUUCGACGAACUUCCCAAUAUGUUUUUGAGAUAUCAAGCUUUCAAGUUGGCAAAAUUGGUGAUCCUUUUAUCCUGCUCAGCUUCAGGAAAAUGGAUUGCAGCAAGAUGAGGUCCUCAUCAGUGGUUAUUCAUUCGAUUUGCAAACUGCUAGACCAAAACCAGCAAGUGGAGAUGUGUUUACGACAAAAGCCGGCCAGAAUACCAGAUGCCAAUGGCAUCCUUGAAUUUCCAAAUAACAAGGAUCUGGAGAGCUGCCAAAUACUUACACUUCUAGGAGGGGUUUUCCUGAAAGGCUUUCCAAGAGAUCAUUCAUUGCAACCAGCCAGCCAAACAAGACAGAGCAAACAUCAGGAUUUCCGAUCAGUAGGUCUCAACCCCUCCACUGUAACUUGCCAGCAGUCUGCAACCCGCCAGAACAGUAAAAGAUUAUCAUCAGAAAGGAAACAAGCAUCUGUGUCAUCAUCUCUCUGUCUUCAACUUGAAAGGACUUUAUUCGUCAACAAUGGAGUAGUCUUUAGCACAAGGAGACCAAGCAAGUGGAUGAAGACCUGGAGCAGGUGAUGCCGGCACUUCUUCACCAUCAUCCCAUGCCACAUCUACCACCUUCAUAACUUGGAGCCAUGUCGCCACCUCCGACCUCAACAACUUUGUUGUUGAUAAUGAGUUACACAGAUCACACACAGUCACUGAACAUCAGCUGCCUCACAAGAUGUUCACACCACUGCUGGUGGCCGAGGUUUUGAAGCACGCUAAGAAGUCCUCAUCUGAGUUGCCUUUUUUAAAUGUGAUCCGAAUAGCACUGGUGGGGAAACUCCACGUGACGUGUCCCCGAGAACAUUGGAAAUACAGCUGAUGUAUCAAACGAUCCGCUGGAUCCUCUGUCAGUCCACUGUAGCAAAGUCACAGUCACAGCAGGGCACAUAUUACACACCUCACAGAGUUUGCUCAGCCAGGGGUCGGGACUACAGGUAGUAUAGCAGAUUUUACCUGAGGAUAAGGUUAUGAAAGGGGUAACCUUGUUCCCUUAGACUUGAUCAUGUUGGUCCAUGAAUUCCUGAAUAAUGAAACAAGUAGGUAUCUCGAAAAGUGAAAAGUUUUGCUCAACCAGGGGUCGAGGACUGGUAUAGAAGAUUUCACCUGGGGAUGAGGUUACCAAGGGGGCAACCUUGUUCACUUGGUCCAUGACUUCCUGAAUAAUGAAACAAGUAGAUACCUCGAAGAGUUUUGCUCAGACAGGGGUCGGAGACUAGUAUACAAGAUUUCACCCGGGGAUCAGGUUACAAAGGUGGUAACCUUGUUCCCUUGAACUUAGACCAUGACUUCCUGAAUAAUGAAACAAGUACAGGUGUAGGUGCCUCGAAUAUACCCUGAGGAUAAGGUUAUAUACCUGAGGAUAAGGCUAUGAAAAAGGUGGUAACCUUGUUCCCUUAAACUUGGUCAUGUUGGUCCAUGACUUCCUGAAUAAUGAAACAAGUAAGUGCCUCGAAGAGUUUUGCUCAGACAGGGGGCGGAGACUAGUAUAUAAGAUUUCACAUGGGGAUAAUGUUACAGGUGGUAACCUUGUUCCUUUGAACUUGGUUCAUGUCUUACUAUAUACUGUAACAGGUACAUGUAGGUGAGUGGAAGUUAAGUAAGCCCCGACUAUAGGCCAAAGGAAUAUAUUAGGAAAUUUCAAGGGAAGCAAUGCACCUGAAUGCAAAUUGUUCACCCCCUAGUCUGGGUGAUACAUAUUGGCAUCCAAAAUGGAUGUACAGUGGUAAGUCAUACAGUGGUAAGUCAUACGUGUAGAAAAAUCUUAUUAGUCAAUUGAAAUGGAGGAGUCGGGUUGGCAUAGCGGUACUUUCCUCGCCUUCCACCACUGUGACCGGGUUUGAUUCCUGCCUGGGCCAAUUAUGCGGAUUGGGUUUUCAGUCUGUGGGUUUUCCCUAGAACAUCAUUCUGGGGUUUUCCUCCCUCCCUAAAACUGUACUUUCCUUCCAUGUCUUGUACCAAGUCUUAUCCAUCCUAUUCUGGUGCUUACGCUGUUGGAUGUUGUGGAAAUAAUUAAAACAAAAGAGUCAAUAAAAUAAAUAGAUGCAUUGAAGCAGAGCAUCCGUGUGGUAUUUACGUGGGGGAAAAAAAGCUAUACUCGAAGGUGCAAGUCCUCUUGCAAUUGCCUAAUGUCAGGCUUUUCUUAAGAUAUUGGCACCAUGCAUGUGUAUAGGUUUCCUUUAUACCUCAAAUUUCAGGGAAAAUGUCUGAGCCCACUUUAUGCAUCCCUGAUAAUAAUAAUGUACAUAAUGCAUAAAACGGACAUCUCAGGCAAAAAAAAUGUCAAGUUCUGACUCGCAUCCCCAUUUAAAAAUUAAUAUUCGAGCGGGAGUGCCUAUCAACACAGUCCUGGAAUAUCCUACCAGACAAGAAGCUGGUCAGGAAAAACUAAGAAAACAAAGUGCAGAAUUCUUCAGCCAGACACUAUCGUUUAUUCGCCCCUGAAAUGAUACAUGGAGCAUUGAUUGACAAAACCUGAAACUCCGGACAUAGCGGGGAUUCCAUCAGCAUUACCAGAUAUGACUUCACUAAUUAGACCUCAUGCAAGCCUUGGAUUGUAACCGGAGGUGGCAUAUCUUGAUAGUAGCCCUGAAGCUUUAAUUAUCUAAGAGUAUUUGGACUUCGUAGCUACAUGAAGUGACUGAUGAGUGUCUGAUUUCUCAUUUUAACUUCUCAGUUUCGA
Molecule: unclassified non-coding RNA, 2804 nt
Filed under: Patiria miniata (bat star)
Lineage: Eukaryota; Metazoa; Echinodermata; Asteroidea; Valvatida; Asterinidae
Description: uncharacterized LOC119734716, transcript variant X3
Source: RNAcentral